RNAcentral lists this non-coding RNA (91 nucleotides) under bovine gut metagenome. Its description in RNAcentral is "Glycine riboswitch". It matches the Rfam family "Glycine riboswitch aptamer", at positions 9 to 86 of the family's 94-position model. From Rfam's summary of the family: This family represents the bacterial glycine riboswitch. Glycine riboswitches usually consist of two metabolite-binding aptamers domains with similar structures in tandem. The record is from RNAcentral.
GAACUCUGGAGAAUCCCUGUGCGGUCCGCCGCCGGGGUGCCGAAGGUGCAAGGCCGCAAGGCCGAAUCUCUCAGGCAAAAGGACAGAGCGU